Molecule: ribosomal RNA, 513 nt
Filed under: uncultured bacterium
Lineage: Bacteria
Description: partial 16S ribosomal RNA
Rfam family: Bacterial small subunit ribosomal RNA
Source: RNAcentral
GAUGAACGCUGGCGGCGUGCCUAAUACAUGCAAGUCGAGCGAACAGAUAAGGAGCUUGCUCCUUUGACGUUAGCGGCGGACGGGUGAGUAACACGUGGAUAACCUACCUAUAAGACUGUGAUAACUUCGGGAAACCGGAGCUAAUACCGGAUAACAUAUUGAACCGCAUGGUUCAAUAGUGAAAGGCGGCUUUGCUGUCACUUAUAGAUGGAUCCGCGCCGUAUUAGCUAGUUGGUAAGGUAACGGCUUACCAAGGCAACGAUACGUAGCCGACCUGAGAGGGUGGUCGGCCACACUGGAACUGAGACACGGUCCAGACUCCUACGGGAGGCAGCAGUAGGGAAUCUUCCGCAAUGGGCGAAAGCCUGACGGCGCAACGCCGCGUGAGUGAUGAAGGUCUUCGGAUCGUAAAACUCUGUUAUCAGGGAAGAACAAAUGUGUAAGUAACUGUGCACAUCUUGACGGUACCUGAUCAGAAAGCCACGGCUAACUACGUGCCAGCCGCCGCAGUAA